RNAcentral lists this unclassified non-coding RNA (295 nucleotides) under plant metagenome. RNAcentral describes it as "partial contains small subunit ribosomal RNA, internal transcribed spacer 1, and 5.8S ribosomal RNA". The record is from RNAcentral.
UUUCCGUAGGUGAACCUGCGGAAGGAUCAUUAUUGAAUGAACUUGGUAUGAUUGUUGCUGGCCCAUCUGGGCAUGUGCACGUCUGCCAUCUUUAUCUUUCCACCUGUGCACAUAUUGUAGGUCUGGAAUAAAUUUCUGAGGCAACUCGGUAGUGGGGAAUGCUGCUGCGAAGUGGCUUUGUCUGUAAUUUCAGAUCUAUGUUUUCAUAUACACCAUAAAAAUGUAACAGAAUGUAUUAAUGGGUCUUGUACCUAUAAACUAUAUACAACUUUCAGCAACGGAUCUCUUGGCUCUU